UGAUUUACGUGUUAGCCAAAAGAGUUUGUCAGUAAAAGUUUGAGAAGUCCUGCAGCGAUUAAUUUUAGUAACAAAACCAGUUAACACUCCGCUAAAUUAAAAUUGUAUAUCCAAUGUUAACGUUACUAUCGAUGAGGUUUUAAAUAAACGAUUUAAGUUUCAUCUAUUCUCAUCAUUCUAUCGAUAUUCAUGACUUUGGACGAUGAGAUUUCACAAAUUAAAACUCGCUGUCAAUUCGUAUAUUUCAGAAACAUUAAAUUAUUAAUACAAUUUGCAAUUGAUAGAGCACAGAUUCGCAAGGUGUGGGAUGCGUAAAAUAUUCAAAUAUCAGGGUGAUUUACGUGUUAGCCAAAAGAGUUUGUCAGUAAAAGUUUGAGAAGUCCUGCAGCGAUUAAUUUUAGUAACAAAACCAGUUAACACUCCGCUAAAUUAAAAUUGUAUA
This 442-nucleotide unclassified non-coding RNA is filed under the name Bombus terrestris (buff-tailed bumblebee). RNAcentral describes it as "misc RNA ENSBTSG00005032838.1". The record is from RNAcentral. Lineage: Eukaryota; Metazoa; Arthropoda; Insecta; Hymenoptera; Apidae.